GGCCUAGGCGGUCAAGUAAGUCAGGGGUGAAAUCUGCACGGCUCACCCGGCAAACUGCCCUUGAUACUGCUUGACUCGAGUCCGGAAGAGGGAAGCGGAAUUCCGUGUGUAGCGGUGAAAUGCGUAGAUAUACGGAGGAACACCAGUGGCGAAGGCGGCUUCCUGUGUCGGUACUGACGCUGAAGCCCGAAAGCGUGGGUAGCGAACG
Molecule: ribosomal RNA, 208 nt
Filed under: uncultured bacterium
Lineage: Bacteria
Description: partial 16S ribosomal RNA
Rfam family: Bacterial small subunit ribosomal RNA
Source: RNAcentral